Molecule: transfer RNA, 62 nt
Filed under: Opiliones sp. MT-2014
Lineage: Eukaryota; Metazoa; Arthropoda; Arachnida; Opiliones
Description: tRNA-Leu
Source: RNAcentral
AUUACUUUGUCAAAGUGAUUGAGUUAAAUUUAGGGUUUAAAUGUGAUUAAAGUCAAGUAGUA